AACACUGUUAACCUGCGGUACCUGCGGAAGGAUCAUUAUCGAGUGUAGCCUACCCCGUAAAAAAGGGUGGUACCUCCCGUCCUUUGCAGGCCCCCCUUUUGAUGGGGGGGCUUUUUAAGACUUUCUGCUUCGGCGGGGUUACUCCCGCCGGAACACCCUCAAAAAAACUCUUGAUCAAAAACCGUUCAGUCCGAGAAUUUUUGAAAAUUAAAAAAAAACUUUUAACAACGGAUCUCAGAU
This 240-nucleotide unclassified non-coding RNA is filed under the name soil metagenome. RNAcentral describes it as "partial contains 5.8S ribosomal RNA, internal transcribed spacer 2, and large subunit ribosomal RNA". The record is from RNAcentral.